RNAcentral lists this long non-coding RNA (4368 nucleotides) under Gadus morhua (Atlantic cod). Its description in RNAcentral is "lncRNA (ENSGMOG00000037211.1)". The record is from RNAcentral. Lineage: Eukaryota; Metazoa; Chordata; Actinopteri; Gadiformes; Gadidae.
AGCGAGCACGAUCUCUGUGGUGAGAUAAAGCUCCUCUCUCUCCGCCCGCUCUGCAUUCCUUCACACCAGGGGGCCCGCGUCGAGAUGAAAAGAAGCAGCGCUGGGAUUCUGCUCAAGGGGGUGAAACAGAUUUGUGUGGACGGAAGCAGCCAGCCUACCAGCGCAGAGUCUCUGAUCCCGUUACGUCCGUUCACCCGAGGGAGGUCCCUUCACCCCGCCGCCCUCCCCGAGGCCUCCACACCUGGGAGGAGCCGUCCCGCCCACCCUGCCGACACAGGUCGCGCCCCCCGACGGGCAGAUCAGCAGGACACUCCCGCCCGUACCUCUCGUGCCUGUCAGACUGAAGGCGUCUACUACAGCAGCGAUAGCGGCGACGAUUCCCACGGGCUCCCGGGCCCGCGUCGCUUGACCGCCGACAGAAGCAGCAACGAAGAAGCGGCGGCUCCCACCUUCGGCAGUGGGCAGUGCCCCUGCGGAGCUUCCGGGCCUCGGCAGAAGCCCGCUACGUGCUAUAGCUCCUUCUGCGACCUAGACCUCCCUUGUCGGCCCCUCCAGCCCGAGGCCUGCGAUGCGGCCCUACCCGAGCCUUCGCCUGUGGCUGCCCAAACAGAUGUCUCCCUCGCUCUACCAACGCCGACGCCCAAUAUCAAACCCUUCCAACCUUUUGAGGUGAGCUCGGGCCGUAAGUGGGAUCCCCAAGCUCUUGAACGAGAAUGCGACCGUCGACUGCUUGCUACCGACCAAAUGGCUUCGGUGUUUCCUGCUGGCGCCCCUGCCGUGGUUCCUCCCGUAUCCAUGUCAGCUCUGGCUUUGGCAAUGAUCCCCGACGACCAAGUGGUGCCCUUUCCCCUCAACCCCCUCGCCCAGUUCCAUGUUCCCGCGGCGUUCAGCACAGCCGCCCCCGCCCCCGCCUUCUUCCCCCCCGUCUGGUGCCGGGUGAAGGCUCCGAUCCAGGGCAGGGCACCAACACCGCGGGCGAGGCUGUCGUCCAAGGUUCCAGCUCCGCGUCAGCAGGGCGCCUACGACCUACUGGCUGACUUCCCCGUACUCCGGCCCCAUAACGUCAAGCGAGGCGUGGGCCCGGCGGCCCAGGUCUGGGGCGCAGACGGGAGGAGGAGGGGCCUGGCGGCGGUGCCGCAGGAUAACCUCAACCAGCAGCCCGGUGGGGACGGAGACAGAGAGCAGGGCAAGGAGCACAGCCAGCCCCUGGUCCCCAGGCCCGUGUGUGAAGGAGGUCAGGGGUUCACGCUGGCCCUGGCUCCCCCACCUCUAGCCAAGCCAGGCCUGAGCAACCUUCCUGUGGCCAAUUGCGGAGGGGCAGUCCACACACAGCCGAUUACAGAGACCGACGCAAGUGUAGGCGUAGACAUGACCAGCACCCGCGUCGACCUCGCCAGCCAUGCAGCUGCCACGCCGGAGAAAGCCGGGGGCAGCGAUACCCAGCGCACGACGGACGCCGGCGGCAAUGUCAAGGGCGAGUCUCCGGCUGCAAAGAAGAAUGCUGCUUGCCAGGCCACACCUCCCUCUAUGGUAGCCAAUCCGUCGAGAGCUCCAUGCCCCCAUGCCGUUCUCCAGCCAAUGAGAUUGGACUUUACCCCCCCAACCCAGGUACCUUUUAUUUCCCCACACUUUUUGCUGUUCGAGUUUAGUUUAAAUUCACCGUUGAGUCGCAUGUUUUCCAGCACCUAUAGGCUAAAUUGUCUGAAUGCAAUUCCAGGUACUUUCUGACCCGUCUUUGAUUCUAUCCACCUCUCUCAUUUUAUCUUUGUCCAUACGUCUCUCUCUGUACAUCUCACUAUGUGCCGGUCUAUCUCUAUAUUUUCCCUCUCUCUAUCUGCCAUUAUGCAGCUCUUUGUCUCUAUAUCACUGUUUCUAUGUCUCACCCUCAAUCUCCCUCUCCAUCUGUCUAUGUUUUGCUGUCCUUAUUUCUCCCGGUCUUUCUGUCAUUAUGUCUACGUCUUUGUAUGUCUCUCUGUGCCACCCUCUACAAAGCCCCAUCUGUGUGUAUUAUAUAUAUAUUAGAGCUGUCAAGCGAUUAAAAUAUUUAAUCGUGAUUAAUCGCAUUAAUGUCAUAGUUAACUCUAAUUAAUCGCGAUUAAUCGCAAAUUAUUUUUCUAUGCUAAAUAUCCCUUGAUUUUUUUGUCCCAUAAUUCUUCUCAUUUUAAUUCUCUUAUCAACAUGGUGAAGUGCAUCGGCUUGCCUUGUGCAAAUGAUUUUUUAUUGAUAACAACAUUGGCAUAUACACUGAUCAAAACAGGACGAUACAAAAAAAGAGCCUAUAGUGCAAUUAAACGACUGCUUUGAACAAAUGUCAUUUGAACAUAGCAGUCAGGCUACUGCUUCUUUGUUUUGAGCCAAAGAAAAAAAAAAAAAAAAAAGUUUUUUUUUUUUAUGAAGUAAUUGCGUUAAUCGCGCGAUAAAAAUUUUAACGCCGUUAAAUUUGGUUUGCGUUAACGCCGUUAAUAACGCGUUUAACUGACAGCUCUAAUAUAUAUAUAUAUAUAUAUAUAUAUAUAUAUAUAAAAAUAGUGUGGCUGCAUUCUUCCUUUUUUCUUUUCUUUUGAGCAGCCGAGUAAUUUAUGCAUUUUAUUAUUAUUUUAUUUUGACCUCAUGCAUGAGGGUGAGUUCAGAGAUGCACCCCCCCCCCCCCCCCCCCCCCCCCCCCCCCCCCGACCACCAUCAUCCUGGGACACCCCCCCCCCCCUGACCCUCCCUUACAGCCCAGCAGGGUAAUUACUGCAGGUGAAAUGCAAAUCCCUCCCGGGUGGAGGAUGAGGUGUAAGACCCUCCCGAAGGCCAGACAGGAAAUGAGAUGGAAAGGGCAGCGAGAGUGAGAGUGAGAGUGGGCGAGAGAGGGAGAGAGAGGCAGAGAAAGAGAGACGGAGAAAGGAGAAGGAGGAGGAUUAAAAGGUGUGUGGGUGAGGGAGGUAGGCAUUAUAAAAGUUGUAUUUUUGGCUUUGGAACAGCUGAUGCAUGCAGGGAGGCAAGUGAAUGUUUAUAGAGGUUGUGAGGGAAAAAAAAAAGGAAAAGAAAUCACGAGAACACUGAUGCAUUUUAAUAUCGCGUGCACGCACUCGCAAAUGCAAAUGUGAGUGCGCGCACACACACACACACACACACACACACACACACACACACACACACACACACACACACACACACACACACACACACACACACACACACACACACACACAGCAGUGAAACAGAACAAACCACAAGUUGUUAUUUUUCCGUUUCAAUGACCACACCCUAAAUAUUCUGCCGUAUAAAAUGUUACGAGAGGCAGGAAACGGAGAACUGGGGAGAGAUGAAAAUGGAGAUUCUCCCGAAACAAAGCCAACCAACAACAACAAAGAUAUACAAAUCAGAUAGAGCGUCUAUCCUGGGGGAGCCUUUGCAGUCACCGGUGGUUUCCCUUAGAAAAAAAACGCAAUUCCGCAACCAAAGUAAAAUAAAACUUUUAAAUUCAACUGCUCUUCCCUCCUCCAGUUCCCUCAUCUAUUUUUAACCCUGUCAUCCACCCACAUCUCUACUCAUCCAUUAAAUCAUCAUCUCAUUAGUUUUAAAUUAUUGUACUUAUUUUCCAGUGUCCAUCAGUGGACUUGGCAACCAGGCGUUCCUUGGCAGAUGGCAGCCAGUCAUUGUCAAGCUAUAAGGAAAAAGCAUUAUCAAAAAUAGAGGAUUGUGAACUAUGGUAUGAGGCAUGAGUUUGUCUCAAACGCAUUAUCCAUUAGUCAUACCAGGCGUGAGACAGUGGGUAACCAGGACGGAAGGAAGUGAGGGGGAGACAGAGAGCAAGAGAGAGAGAGGGAUAUCGAGAGACACAGACAGUGACAGACUGAAAAAGAGAAAGACACGUACAGUGAAGGAGAAAAAGAGAGAGGGACAAAGAGAGAGAGGUGGGCAUAUGAGUAGGCAAAGUGGGUGUGAUAUGUGUAUGGAAAUGGGGAAAAGUGAAGUUGUGCAUACGGUGUGUGUGUGUGUGUGUGUGUGUGUGUGUGUGUGUGUGUGUGUGUGUGUGUGUGUGUGUGUGUGUGUGUGUGUGUGUGUGUGUCAAAAAAGAGACUCCAAGUGGGAGUCAUAGAGCUCUCAAGCCUUUGUGAGUGUGACUGGCAGAUAUGCGGUGCACCAAAGUUUUCCCUCUUGCAGUAUACACUCUCUCCAGCUAAUAACCAUGUUGUUUAGCUGUUGCUAGGCUACAGAGGUUGGUUGUUGUCCUGUGGCAAUUUGGCUGUUUUUUCCCCCCGAUUUUGUGUGUGUGUGUGUGUGUGUGUGUGUGUGUGUGUGUGUGUGUGUGUGUGUGUGUGUGUGUGUGUGUGUGUGUGUGUGUGUGUGUGUGUGUGUGUGUGUGUGUAUUGUUCCUGA